Molecule: long non-coding RNA, 1133 nt
Organism: Bradysia coprophila
Lineage: Eukaryota; Metazoa; Arthropoda; Insecta; Diptera; Sciaridae
Source: RefSeq, a predicted model, not a curated record
UUUAACUUGAACAACUCCAUAAUGGUCAAACAGUGUCACUAAAAUUUCCAAAAUAAAAACGUUUUCCUAUCGAAAUAAGGCCCUUUAAUAACAUUUGUAUCGAUGGCAUUGCGAUAUGCACUUCAGUUUUAUUUAAAAAAAAAAAAAAUGAAACUAACGAACGAAUCGAUCAACACCAAUUUUUUUUUCCAUAUGUUCAAUAUGUUACAUUAUGCUGUGAAGACGAGCUUCGUUAAAUAUUUCAUAAUUAAUUAUGGAUGAAUAUGUGAAGACACAACCCAAUUUAUUGUAAAAUGUAAAAUUAAAUUUGUUUUUUCUUUCUCUUUUUUUUCUGUGUUUUUCAGAUUUUUCGAUAAUAUGCAGCGGGAACACUUAACGGAAAAUUUAAAUAAAAAAAAAUAUUCUUGUUUGAAGAAACAAUAAAAAUGAAAAAAAUCAUUAUCAAUCGAAAAGUCACUUGAAACUUUAUUUCUUUAAUUAGAAAAUGUUCGAUUAAAUUAAUCAAUAAAACAUAUUAACGGCACCAACACUUUUUCUAUUUAAUAUUUUAAAAAAUAUAAUGGUAAAUCGACUAAGCAAAGGUGGGCAUAAAUGUAUAAUAAUAUUGUAAGUAUGUUGAAGGUAGGCUUUUUUUCAUUCUGAUAUAUUAGGAGGUUGAUAUCCAAAAGUAAAUAGACCACUUUGAAUAAAAUCGAAAUCAUUACAGAGAAGUGAAAAAUGAAAUUCGGAACCAAUGAACCAGUUAAACGUACAGUGAUUUUUAAACAAAAAAAAAAUUAAAAGAAAACCAUGUUGGAUGAAAGCAAAAUUAUAAAAUUAUUUAAACAAAACAGAAAGAAAAAUAAUAAACCAACGAAAACAAAAAUAAUUAAAAAUAUUUGAACGGAAAAAAAAUUAAAAAAAAAAAGUUCGACAAAAAAAAAUUGUUUUUUGUUUUAACCCAAUUUCUUAAUGUCACAUUGUAAAGGCUCUGAAAGAUGGAUUUUUCAUGAAAAAUGAAUUGCAGAUACUUACCAUUGCUAAAGUGUGAUCGUUUGGUAGCACUAUUUUCCGAAUCACUAUCGAGUGGUCGUUUACGGGUGUCCCCAAUUUCAGGGCUCGGACAUGUUUCCAUUCCUUGGUCGGGUGGAUCA